This is a small nucleolar RNA of Malania oleifera, 108 nucleotides long. The record is from RefSeq and is a predicted model, not a curated record. Lineage: Eukaryota; Viridiplantae; Streptophyta; Magnoliopsida; Santalales; Ximeniaceae.
AAUCCAUGUUGUGGGCAACGUAGAAUCAAAUCCUUAUACCUUUCCCAUGCUUUAUAAAGUGAUUCAAAAUCAUGUUGCUUGAAUUGACCAAUCUCACCUCCUGAGUUG